CCGACCUUAGCUCAGUUGGAAGAGCACAAGACUGUAAAGGAGAUCUGGUAAUCUUGGGGUCGCCUGUUCGAACCAGGCAGGUCGGA
This 86-nucleotide transfer RNA is filed under the name Lentinula lateritia. RNAcentral describes it as "tRNA-Tyr". It matches the Rfam family "tRNA". From Rfam's summary of the family: Transfer RNA (tRNA) molecules are approximately 80 nucleotides in length. Their secondary structure includes four short double-helical elements and three loops (D, anti-codon, and T loops). Further hydrogen bonds mediate the characteristic L-shaped molecular structure. tRNAs have two regions of fundamental functional importance: the anti-codon, which is responsible for specific mRNA codon recognition, and the 3' end, to which the tRNAs corresponding amino acid is attached (by aminoacyl-tRNA synthetases). tRNAs cope with the degeneracy of the genetic code in two manners: having more than one tRNA (with a specific anti-codon) for a particular amino acid; and 'wobble' base-pairing, i.e. permitting non-standard base-pairing at the 3rd anti-codon position. Lineage: Eukaryota; Fungi; Basidiomycota; Agaricomycetes; Agaricales; Omphalotaceae. The record is from RNAcentral.